Molecule: RNA transcript, 672 nt
Organism: Asparagus officinalis (garden asparagus)
Lineage: Eukaryota; Viridiplantae; Streptophyta; Magnoliopsida; Asparagales; Asparagaceae
Exons: 5
Source: RefSeq, a predicted model, not a curated record
AUCGGCAAUGCGCCUCGGCUGAGGCCGUGCCCGAAGAUCACCGCCGACGAGGCGGAGCAAGGUGCCGGCGGAGGCUCAGAUCUCGGACCGCGAGGUCGGGUUUCUCAAGGAGGAGUUACAAUCACUUGAAGGACUUCCACCUGUUCAUAGAUGUUGCAAAGAGUAUGUCUCCGCAAUCUCACGGGUCCACGAGUUUGUCGGGUCAAACCCGGAUCCACUAAUACCACCAAACAAGAAGAAACAGAAGUCUUGUAGAAUGUGGGAGCGGCUUCGAACCAACCUAUGCUGCAAUUUUUCAUGGAUGUGCUGCUCAUGUACCUGCUCUCUUCAGCUGCAAACCCUCUGCUGCCCCAACCGUCGCAACAAUCCAAAUCCAGGAACCUGCUGCUGCUGCAGUUGCAGGGGAAUUUCAUGUUGCAGGCCGACGCAAUGUCUCCGGCCGGGCUCAUCUUGCCCAGGCUGUUCUUGCGGCUGUGCCUGCUCUUGUUGCCCUGAUUGUAUUGAAGUGCGACUCCGUCCAAAAUGUUGUACUGAAACUUGUCGUAGCGAACAAUGCCUUUGUUAAUUUAGAAAUGUCCUCUCUUAAUUCAUUGUUAUGUAGACUUUGUUACGUUGUUUCUUAUUAAUUGACUUUGUUACAUUGCUUCUUAUUAGCACGGCCUGUUGGGAUUG